GAUGGCCCAGAUUCAUGUGGAGCGAACUGGGCGCACAAUUUACAAAAAGCUCCAUCGCUGCUGGUUCAUUUGUUACCGAUCUCCUUUUCUCGCCUAAACAGAGUACCCAUAUGCAGUAGCAGGCUAGCAGACCUAAAUCCUCCCCACAGCGGCGGCAGCGGCGGCGGCGACAGGCCAGAUCCGUCAACUAAGUUGGGCGAGUAUGCACAGAUGAGGUGAUAUUCUAUCUCUCCGACGGCUCCUGCCCGAUGUGUCGCCGGCAACCCAGUUUGAAGCCGACCAGAUCGGAGCUCGCGGAGUACUAAGAUCGGCGCCGCUGUGUGCUUGUUGCAGCCUCCCAUGUCAGGCUCCGGCAACGUCUGGUUCGUCGCCUCCUCUCUAUCUCAGGAGAUCGGAGCUCGCGUUCUCCUCCACCUCGUCGGCUGUAAGCCCGUGGUCGACUCCUCGGCUCCUUCACGACCGGACCGUGUGGCGUGGUGCGAACCUACAAGGCGUCACCACCUCAGGUCAAUGAUGGACCAGCAUCCAGGAGGAGAAAACGACUGCAGGGACUGGAUUCAUGCAAAAAACUCAUAUGCCUUGACAAGAGAUGUGGUGGGCUAUUCAAGACAAAGCCUAUGAACUCUACCUGGAGAACGUAAGGAAGUUUGGCAUCCAAUGGUGAAAGGCCCUCGUGGUGAAAGCCCUGAAAAAGGACACACACAUCCCAGAAAUGGUCAGGCAGAGGUACAAGGGUAAAGCUGUGGCAGAUGAUAGCUCGGACACAUCAAGCAGCGACAGCGACGGUGACUUUGCUGACCGGCAUGAGAUGCUCGCUUGCCGGCGUCAGAUUGCCGAGUUACGAGUGAAAACCCUAGAUGGAAAUCAGGUCAAUGACGUUGGAAGACAAGUGCCAGUCAGAAUUGGAGAUGGCGUUGAGAAUGGGAACAAUGCUGGUUUGUGGAUUGAUACAUUCAUGGUUUUCAGUUACCUGUAGUUUAUAACAAAACGUAUUCAAAUGAUGUUUGCCCCGUGGAUCCUAGUUGCUGCAAGAUUAGACGUUUUAGAUUUGUGAAACUCUGCCUGGAAGGUAUUCCAAGAUUCAUCUGAGCCGCGGCGGACUGCAAACAUGGCCCUUGUAUAUAUGUUGCUUGCAUGCCGCUCAAUCGCUAGGUACGAUCUCUUCUGCCACAAGAAGCUCGAUGAGCAAUAAGCACUGGGAUCCCAUAAGCACUAGUAACGGAGGCAAAGGCUAUAACUUUUGUGUUGUAUACCAUCAAGUAGCAAAAGUUGAUGCUGUUUGGCAAUGCUUGUUGAACAAUGAUUAUUUUAGUCCAUAUUUAGCCUGGCAUCUGAUGUACCAAAAAUGAUCCUCUCAAGCUAUGUAGCACUUGAUAUGUACAUGUAUGUUCUGCUGCGUUCGGUCUGGGAUCGUGCAGUUUGAAAUGUACGUAUGUUCGGUUAUGAUUUGAAGUGGAUGGAUUAAUGUUUCGUGUAC
This is a long non-coding RNA of Triticum aestivum (bread wheat), 1477 nucleotides long. RefSeq lists it as uncharacterized. Lineage: Eukaryota; Viridiplantae; Streptophyta; Magnoliopsida; Poales; Poaceae. The record is from RefSeq and is a predicted model, not a curated record. The transcript is spliced from 6 exons.